GCGACGCUGCGCUGUCUACGCCACGCCGCCGUCCCAAGUCCACCGCCGCCCGAUCCGACACGGGGCGGCCGCGAAGAAAGGC
This is a regulatory RNA element of Olsenella sp. An188, 82 nucleotides long. It matches the Rfam family "aspS RNA". NCBI's taxonomy places the organism in Bacteria, Bacillati, Actinomycetota, Coriobacteriia, Coriobacteriales, Atopobiaceae. The record is from Rfam.